CAGAAAGUAGUUUAAGUUAGAAUGCCAGUUUUGGGUAUUGGUGGCGGAGUUGGAUGCUUCCUUUCUGA
RNAcentral lists this transfer RNA (68 nucleotides) under Papio anubis (olive baboon). Its description in RNAcentral is "tRNA-Pro". It matches the Rfam family "tRNA". Rfam says of the family: Transfer RNA (tRNA) molecules are approximately 80 nucleotides in length. Their secondary structure includes four short double-helical elements and three loops (D, anti-codon, and T loops). Further hydrogen bonds mediate the characteristic L-shaped molecular structure. tRNAs have two regions of fundamental functional importance: the anti-codon, which is responsible for specific mRNA codon recognition, and the 3' end, to which the tRNAs corresponding amino acid is attached (by aminoacyl-tRNA synthetases). tRNAs cope with the degeneracy of the genetic code in two manners: having more than one tRNA (with a specific anti-codon) for a particular amino acid; and 'wobble' base-pairing, i.e. permitting non-standard base-pairing at the 3rd anti-codon position. Lineage: Eukaryota; Metazoa; Chordata; Mammalia; Primates; Cercopithecidae. The record is from RNAcentral.